AAGAGUCCCUGCUGCUUGGUGGAGAAGGAGACCUCUGUGGAAGUGUGUUGGUUGUGGAGUCUUGCCUGUCUUCUCUAUGGUAUCCACGGGGUUGUCCCAUGAUCCUAGGAGAGGAAAAACAUAAGCCAGCCUGAAGAUACGUCAAGCACAGCCACAGGAAUAAACUGCAAAAUCCCUAAGAAUCCAAAAGGAUCUGCAGGAUUUCUCAAGCCUGCCUAGAUGUCGAUGAAAUUCCAAGACAAUGGAGGAGUGUCCCUUCAUGAUGUGGAGAACCUGCUUGGCUCGAAACUGAAUUUGAGGUGAAGUUGUGGGACCCCAUUCAACCCUCAGCAGAUACUAUCCUCACCUGUAUCUGAC
Molecule: long non-coding RNA, 357 nt
Filed under: Homo sapiens (human)
Lineage: Eukaryota; Metazoa; Chordata; Mammalia; Primates; Hominidae
Description: HSALNT0409265
Source: RNAcentral